AUACGUAGGGGGCGAGCGUUGUCCGGAAUGAUUGGGCGUAAAGGGCGCGUAGGCGGCCCGGUAAGUCUGGAGUGAAAGUCCUGUUUUUAAGAUGGGAAUUGCUUUGGAUACUGUCGGGCUUGAGUGCAGGAGAGGUAAGUGGAAUUCCCAGUGUAGCGGUGAAAUGCGUAGAGAUUGGGAGGAACACCAGUGGCGAAGGCGACUUACUGGACUGUAACUGACGCUGAGGCGCGAAAGUGUGGGGAGCAGACAGGAUUAGAUACCCUGGUAGUCCACACGGUAAACGAUGAAUGCUAGGUGUAGGGGGUAUCGACCCCUUCUGUGCCGCAGUCAACACAAUAAGCAUUCCGCCUGGGGAGUACGGCCGCAAGGUUGAAACUCAAAGGAAUUGACGGGG
Molecule: ribosomal RNA, 397 nt
Filed under: uncultured bacterium
Lineage: Bacteria
Description: partial 16S ribosomal RNA
Rfam family: Bacterial small subunit ribosomal RNA
Source: RNAcentral